RNAcentral lists this long non-coding RNA (35884 nucleotides) under Nicotiana tabacum (common tobacco). RNAcentral describes it as "long non-coding RNA (NTAB_LNC000651)". Lineage: Eukaryota; Viridiplantae; Streptophyta; Magnoliopsida; Solanales; Solanaceae. The record is from RNAcentral.
GCCAAAUAGUGCUGAAACCUUUUAGAAAUAUCCAAAUGCAAAUCCGGACAUACGCCCAAGUCCAAAAUCACCAUCUAGACCUAACGGAACAUUCAAAACUCAAAUCCGGGGUCAAAUACACAAAAGUCAAACUUGGUCAACUCUUCCAACUUUAAGCUUGCUAGUUGAGAAUCAUUCUUCCAAAUCAAUCCCGAAUCACCUGAAAACAAAAAUCGAUGAUUCACACAAGUCAUAUUACAUCAUAUGAAGCUACUCAAGACUUUAAAUAGCUGAACGGACUACAGAUGCUCAAAACGACCGACUGGGUCGUUACAAUAGUCAUCCAUCGCCUUCAAUCAAACGACCAAUAUCCCUCCCCCCCCCUUUUCCUUAUAUUCUUUUACCCUACCCUAAUACCCCAUUUCCUCUUAUUCAGUCACCUUUGAAUCCUCUCAUCCACAGAACCCUAAUCCUAGUCGCCUCCACCAAAAUUCGGCAACCCUUUCCUAAAUUACGACUAAUUAGUCGAUCAAUUAUCGAUACACUUCCCUUAUUUGUUCUUUAUCACUGUUACUCGUUCAAUUAUGGUAAUAUUUGGUACUGUUUUGUCUAUGGAAAGUAUGAUUAUCUUGAAUCAAUCCAAUAUGAAGGAAAAGAGAAUAUCUCCUCAUCCUAGCAUAUCUCCGUUGAUUUUUUCUCGAUUAGGGUUUGUGUGUGAUUUACCCUAAUCUGAUUUGGAAUCAGUUUGCAUGAGUUUUCUUUGAUUUUUUGGUUUGAGUGAUACUAUUCCUUUUAUGAUUAUGUGAAUUGAACACUUGAUAAACCUCUUUCCCAAUUCCCCUUUACACAGACUUUAGUAACUAUCUCUCUCACUCACACUAGUCUAUUUUAUUUUGGUUCUCUAAAGAACUACUGUUGUUCAAAUACUAUUCUUGGCUGGCUAAAAGUGAAGGCCAUCUUUGUAUUAUUCAACAACUUCCUCCGACAAAAGUACUGCUCGAAGCCCUUGAGGCUUCUGUGAAAUCUGAACUGCCGGAGACCCUGAGUUUCUCACUACUCUCCUUCACUCGUAAUUGAUACUGAACUACUGUUGAAACUUUGAUUUUCUUAUUCUUUUGCUCGUUUCUCUUUUGUGAUUGGUUAGUAUUAUUAAUUUUGCAGCUUAAUUCUUUAUUUUUUUAGUGCAAGCAUGUUGCAGACUAGCCUCCUUUACUUAUUCAUGCCUAUAUGCACUCUACAUGCCAAUGCUAUGUGGGAGCCUUUAAAAAAGAUGACUUAGGGUCUUGGUUCUAUGAAAUUUACGAAUUGCAGUAGUGUAUCAUGUUACAUGCUAUUCUAAUUUUGCUGUGACUUUAUUGAUAGUGUGGUAUUCUGGGAAUCCUUGUCUGAUACUGUGAGUUCAUUUAGGUUUACUCACCUCUAAUGUGAUCUCUGUCACAUGUACUAUACUCAUCUAUGUGUAUGUAAUGGACCGGUAUAACCCCUUUAUUCUUUUAGGAAUUAGGUGAACACAUGCUGUUUGAUUUGCUAAUUGCUAUACUUAUAAACCAUGUAACUAGGAUUGAUUUGCCUUAGAAUUUCAUUCUAAACCAUCCCCAUAGGAACUUCUAUUUGGUUGUGUUCUUAGGAUUAAGUCUGAACCAUGUAUACAUGAUGUUUUACCUUAAACUUUAAUGAUAAACAUUUCAUGUAAGAAUUCAUGUUUGGUUAUGUUCUUAGGACUAAGUCUUGAUCAUUAUUGUCAUGCCCCAACCUCAAGGAGCAUGGCCGACGCUCAACCGAGAUAACCCGGCCGAGCAAGCCUGCCAGAUUGCCUUCUACCCAACUCACCUAUAAAUAAAGAGAAGAUAAACUUCAUUAAUUAGCACCAAGAGAGUUCAUGAACAACACUAAUUCCAUCACCAUUAGUUACUUCAUUUAUAAAGUCUUAAGAUACAUACACUUUCAUAGUUUGAAGUGGAACAUGUAAUACACAUACGACAUUACUAGCUUGACUUUCCCAAUACCAAUGCACAACCCACACCAUAUCUACGGAGCCUCUAAUAGAUACAAAAGAGUUCAAUGAUAGUGCCGGCAACAAGGCUUCGGCUGUACCUCAAAACAUAAUACACACAGAACAAAAGAUACACGAUUCCAAAAUGAAGUGGGGCUCACUAAGUCAACUAGGAAGAGAGUGUACCGCUAUCAGUGGUCAAUGCAUUCCGCUGUGGAGCCACCUACAUCCAUUAAAGAUGUAGUGCCCUCAGAAAAAGGGACGAUAGAACAUGACGAAUAGUACUAGUAUGAAAACCAAACACCUAUGCAAGGACUUGGAAAUACAACAUGAAUAUGAUGAAUCAUGGUAACAAUAAAAGGCUUAGAUAGCCGUUAAAGCCAUAGAAAAUUUAUUAAGAGCCUUCAAUAACAUUUAUAAAUGUUUAAGUCGGGGAUCCUCUGCAACUACCUUUACACAAAGCGGCCCUGCCACCUCACCCCAAUGUAUGCGGGUGGAGGUGUAAUCACAAUACCACAACUCUACACAAAGCGGACCCGCCGCCUCUCCCCAAUGUAUGCGAGUGGAGAUGUAUUCACAAUACCAUAACUCUAUACAAAGCGGCCCCGCGGCCUCACCCCAAUGUGUGCGGGCGGAGAUGUAUUCACAAUGCCACACUUCGGAUUCCUAAAAUGAUAAUAGUUUAUACAAAAGAGUUCCCUUCCAAUCAACCAUUUGGCACCUUUGGCCUUAGCAAGUGUAAGUUCAUAAGAUUUCAUCAUAUGAGAAAUAGGUGUUUAAUCACAUUGAUUUCAUACAAUAUCUUCUUCCUAAAAAAGGGUAUAACAUAAUUAAGUCAAAAAUAGAGAAUCAUUAACCCACGAGGGUUCUAACAUGUUAUGCUAAUUGGGAAUCAAUUUUACUAGUUUGAAUACCCCACAUCAAUAGCGUUCCAUGUUCGAACUUCACACGAUGGAGUUUUGUAAGAACACGAGAAUUUCAAUAUCAGAAAAAGAGUUUAGCCUUCAUACAUCGAAAGAGCUUUUCGUAGUGCCACAAUAAUGUCCUAGCACUUCUAAUGAUGCCAAUCUAAAGAGGAGGAGAGAAUUAUGAGCACGAUUAGAGGAAUUUGCAUGGCAAGUGUUCUUACAACUAUGAUGAAAUUUGCAUGGCAAAGGUUCUUAUAUUUUGAAGCCCUAGCAAGUUCCUUUAGAUGAAAUUCCCAAGGUUUGAUCAGAGUAGAGUAGUGAAAUCCUUAAUCCUUCCUUUCAUCUCUCUAGAAUAGCCCUCCCCUCUCUCUAAAAUAUCAGGUAGUCUCCCAAAAAUGAACCCUUAGGCUAGAUAAAUAAAAUGGGGGUCGGGUUAUAAGAUUGGAAAAAUGGAGCCCCGACGCAGAUCUGCAGUCACAUAUGCGACCGCAUAACACUUCUGCGGUCCGCAAAAUGGACCGCAUAAUGGCCUUCCAGAACUGGGCAUUUCUGCUUUACUCUAUGACAGGUCUGCGGUCCGCAGACCAAUUCUGCGAUUGCAUAAUAGACCGUAUAACCUCCUUCCAAAAUUUCUCGUGCGGGAUCUGCGAUGGGAUUUGCGGCCCGUAUAAUGGUUUUGCGGCCACAUAAUGGGUCGCAUAAUGGUCCUCAAAUUUUGAAAAUCUCUCUGCUUCAUAGUGGACCGCAGAACUGCCAUGUUCUGCAAACUUUUUCCUUCAACUCCCCAAUGCACUGUUCGACCCAAAAAGUUCGUACCGUGGGUUUUAGAUAUAUUAUAGAGAAUAUGUCUUCGAGGUGUUUUAUGGAUUCCAAUAGAUGUAUAUUUCUCCUGAACAUAUAUGAUUCUAUGUACCCCUCAAGUAUUGUACUCAGGGUAUAUGCCUAUAGGUGUUUAAUGUGAUUGGUAAGUUGACUGAUUAUCAAGUUGUUCUUAUCUUUUCUAUGUUCUAUCAAAUCUCCUAAAAUGAUACUUAGGGAAUCUUGCUUCUUGGUUAGUUUGUAAACCUCAAAGAUUGAAUUUUUGAAUAUGUAUGUGUGUUUCUUGCCGGAAUUCUAAGUUGUGUGGAUAACUUGUUUGCACAGUCUCCCGCAUGCAAUUUCGAUCUUGUAGGGGUGUUAGUUAAGAGAAUUAGUCUGUUUGAGAAUUUGGGCAUGGCCUGUUGGACCUUAUUUCGGUACUGAGUUCGAAUGUGCUUUGUCCGCUUGACCUUAUGCACAUGGAGCUUGUGCCUGUUGGUUUGCAUGAAGUUCGAGACUGUUGAAGGCCCAGAUAUGUUACUAGGUUAUUUGUGUAUUUGUAUUAGGCUUGUAAUUAUUUAUUCUUGGUUUGUAAUAAUUUGUAAAAUUAAUAAUGGGGAAAAAUAAUUAAAUUGGGGCUUGGGGUAGUUUAGUUCUCGCAUAAUUGUGUAGAAGCAUGCCUACUUGUUAAUAGAUAUCAUGCUCAUAAGACCCUCAAUUUUGCAUGUAUCGCUUAGAAAUAACGAGCUUAGGAUCCUAAAUAAUAGUAACCAAACAUCGCCUAUGUGACUCGCACAGUUUAGAAAGCAUGCCUAUAGGACUUAUUCUGUGUUAAUUCAUUUGACUAUCUGUCACUACACUUAGAAAUCAUGUAUUAGAAUUUCACACUUAGCAUCAUGCCUAUAGGACUUUAUAUUAAAUAAUUCGAGUGUUUGUACUACCGGGUUUUGAGAACUAUGCUCCUAACUCUUUAUACCUAGAAGCCAUGUCUAUAGGAUUGUAAACAAUAACUCUUACUACUUAACCAUUGUACCAAUUAAAACAAUCGAAGACUUGAAUCACUUAGAGAUCCUGCCUAUGGGAUUUAACAAUGAAGUUUGCCUUUGCUAUGAUAUCCGCGUAGAAAUCAUGUCUAUAGCCUUAAUUAGUUCGUGCCCUGUCACUAUCAUAAUUGUUUGUCUGCACUUUCCAUCUAGAGAUCAUGUUUUAGGUCCAAAUCAAGUAAUUCGAUAAUACGGAUUAAUUCUUAAACUAUCCAGUCUAAAUCUUACAACUAGAAAGCAUGUUCAUAGGACAAUUAGCGUUUGAUUCUGCCACUUCUUUACAACCCGUCUAAUUAGUUUGACACUUAUGUGAGUCUAUUAGUGGAGGUAAACAUGAGCCCCUUUAUGCUAACUGUAUUUUUUUGAAGUCCUAUUUGUUUAAGUUAUUUGGCACCUAGUUUUCAAUUUUGAGCAACCUAGGAUGAGUCUAAAACCAUCCUUAUAGUUGUCUAAUACCUCCUGGAAUUGAAUUAGUGCACUUUAGGUAAAUAACUUAAAGAUAGAAAUCGGGUAGCUUGAGAUGAUAGUCGGUGCUUGCUGGAUAAUAUGAGCAACCAUUACCUUAAGGUUGCGAAUUAUUAUUUAUAUUGCACGGGGUGAUCCUUUAGGCUAAAACAUUUAGGACCCCCCAUUGUGUCUAAUUGUUCCUAUGUAUCUAGUCUUAAUGAUUUGUAUUAUUAGGAGAUUUUGAUUUGUUUAACUAAUUCUAAGGUUGAACAUUUUUGUAACCAAAAGGUUGUAUCGAUUAAUAUUAAUGAAUGAAGUAUGUUCUUUCAAACUGUUCUUUUUACAUUAUUUCCGUACUACUUCUUCAAAUUAGUUAAUUAUUAGUAUUUGGAUUAUAUUCGAUCACCCUGCAUCCACCUAGAAUAAUUAAUCACCUGUUGUGACCGUUUAUUCCCUUAGCUUAAUAAUAGAUUAAUUUGCAUGCUCAUUUAGGAUAAUUAAUUAAUAAUUUAAUAUUCCCACACAGUCUAAAAUUCGGUAGGAAAUCACAGUUGUGGACCCGAAGAGUGCCUAACACCUUCUUUUCUAAGUAAUUUGACCCUUACCCAAUCUUUUGUGACGUAUACUAAUUUAAACAUAGUUAUUUGCAAAUAGGUGCCCUAACGCACCUCAAAAAUUAUUAGGUGGCGACUCUCCUCUUUUAAUACCCACUUAAAAGAGUUCUCACGCGUCAAAACCCACUUUCGCGCGAAAAUGGGGCACGACAGCAUGACGACUCUGCUUGGGAUAUACUUAGGCUCUUACCAUGACAAUUUUUUUCUUGUGUGGAAUUAUCGAUUUGCUUUACUUGACUUCUUCUACGUGCCUCCCUUUUCCCGUCCCUUUGUUUGCUCGAAAUGGUUGCAUCGUGAAAUUCCCUUUCCUUUCUCCUUUAUCUGUUUACUAUUUAAUCGUAUUUUUUGAUUUUUAUGCUUAUUUAAGCCAUGCUAACUAUUUUCCUUUUUCCUUUCUUCACUUCCCUGACUUAUUUAUUUACUGCAUUAUCAAAUACUAUCUUUAUAUGUUUCUUCAUCAUAUACAUCACGUGGUUAUAUGUUACCCGUUUUUCAUAAGUAUGCUUUCAACAUCAUAUUCCACUUGUGCCUAUUAUCAAUAGAGUGACGCUUGAUGAGUGUCUGUGCUUUCCGAAAAUACCCUUUUAAAAUUGAAAAGGCUUAUUAGCAGUAGACUAGUUGAUCAGCGGUGCAGUCGACGAUCCCGUGCAUUUUUCUCUCAAGUUGUUCACUUGAGAGUACGGGUUAGACCCUUAGAAGCCUACUCUGAACUAAACUUUGCAUGCAUCAUGUUAAACUUAGGACGGAUUAAACACCAGUGGCAUAUUAAAUCCGUUUAGAUAAACCUUGUCCAAAGUUCAAAGGGAUCUCUACAAUCCCGAAUGAUACUCUCACCUAUGUGCAUUACUUGGAGAAUAUAUGCCAACAUGUUGACUAUCGCUUAAUUAAUUGUAACGACCCGACCGGUCAUUUUGAGAAUUUGCGCUUCGCUCGGUAGUUUGAGGGCACGAGUAUCUCCACAUCAUGUAUUAUGAGUUGUGUGAAUCAUUGAUUUUUGCUUUUCAGGCUAUUCGGAAUCGAUUUGGAAGAAUGAACUUCAUGAUUGAAGCUUUAGGUUGGAAAAGUUGACCAAGUUUGACUUUUUAGCAUUUGACCUCAGAUUGGAGUUUUGAUGGUUCCUUUAGGUCUGGAUGGUGACUUUUUAGCAUUUGCCUGGAUUUGCAUUUGGAUGUUUCUUGAAGAUUUUGGCGUUAAUUAGCAAAAGUUGGCAAUUUAGAGUUUUGGAAUGUUCAUAAGUUUGACCGAAAGUUGACUUUGAUAUUAUUGGGUUCGGAUUUUUAUUCCGGGAGUUGGAGUAGCUUCAUUAUGUCAUUUAAAACUUGUGUGAAAAAUUUGAGGUUAUUCCGAGUUGAUUUGAUAUGGUUCGGCACAUGAUUUGGAAGUUGAAAGUUCAAAAGUUUAUCAAGUUUGAUUCGAGGUGCGAUUCGUGGUUUUGAUGUUGUUAUGCAUGAUUUAAGGUCUCGAGUAGGUUCGUGUUAUGUUUUGGGACAUGUUUGUAUGUUAAGACGAGAUCCCGAGGGGCUCGGGUGAGUUUCGGACCCUUUUCCUCAUGUUUGGCAUAGCUGAUUCUCUGCUGGUUCUGGUGUUUCAGGCAUUCUUCGCGAUCACGGAGAAAUACAUGCGAUCGCAUAGAGUAUCAGGAGUUGUUGGUUGAUUCUUUAUCGCGUUCGCGGAAGGUUUAGGGGUUGGUACAUUGCGUUCGCAUGUGGAGUUUCACGAUCGCAGAGCAGUUGGGAGCUGGGGACUUCCUUCUUCGCGUUUGCAUGAUUGUGGAUGCGUUCGCGUAGUGUUGGGCCUGUGUUCAUCGCGUUCGCGAGGGUAGUGAUGCGAAUGCAAAGCGUAUAUUUUUGGCUGAGCUCAUUUUAUGCAUCGCGAUCGCGUAGAGGACCACUGGACAAAGCACAUAAGUACUCUUUUUCGGACCUUUGAGUUAUUUUAUCACAUUCUGAGUUGUGGAGCUCAGAUUUGGACGAUUGUGGAGGAGAUUUUCAUGCGGUAAGUGUAUUCUACUCGAUUUUGAUUAUAUUCUGUGAUUCUAUCUUCGUUUUUGGUAUUUGGAUUAUGAAUUUUAUAGAGAAAUUUGGGGGGUUUUGCCUAAAAUUUCUUAAAGUGACUUUUUGAGUUUUGAACAUUGAUUUGGAGUCGGAUUUGAGUGAAACCAGUAGGGUUGGAUUCGUAAUUGAAUGGGUUGUCAGAUUUUGUAAGUUUUGUUGGAUUCCAAGGUGCGGGCUCGAGUUUGACUUUUUAGUUGACUUUGGGAUUUUGAUCAAAGAUUCGACCUUUAUCAUUUGGAAUUGUUUCCUUAGAUAUUAUUUGAUGCCUUUGAGUUUCUUUUGGCUAGUUUCGAGCCGUUCGGAGGAUGAUUUGAGCGGGAUGGUGCUUCUAGGGUAUCGAUUUGGCUCGUUUGAAGUGUCUUGCCUAACUUUGUUGAAGGAAUUUUUUCUGCUAAUUGAUAUUAUUUUCUACAUGCGGGGGUGAUACAUAUAUGAGGUGACGAGCAUAUAUGCAUGCAUGCAUUACGUUAUGAUAUCAUUUCCCUGUGUAUACAUUCAUGUCAUUACCUUGAAUUGUUAUUGUUGCACCUAUGUUAUCUACGUGACUUGUCAUUGUUGUAAUGUCUUUGUCCUCUAUCUCGAUUGUUGUUGUGUUGUUCGUGCCUUCUAUAUGUUUAACUUGCAAAGAUCAUACCUUCUUUCCUGUUGUUAUAUCUACAUCCAUGUCGUAUCUACUUAGUUGCAUUUUAGUAUAAGCCUUCUACCAUGUUAGCCAUUCAUGCCUCUACUUGUUAGCUUAUAAAGAUCAUGCUUUCCCCCCUUAUUUGUUAUAUCUACAUCUAUGCCUUCUACCAUGCUAGUUAGGUGAAAUUAUGUUCUUCUUUCCUAAUUGAUGUCAUCAUUCAUAUGCCUCCUACCUAGUCUAUUACUGUUGUCCAUAUGUACUGCCUUGUUCAUCAUUGCUACUUGUGUAUUUCCUACCUUGUCAUUACUAUUAUCGACAUUUCUUUCACCUAGUUGGUACUAUUAUAUGUAUAUUUAGUUAGGAUGAGAUAAAUGCCACGAAGGGUGUUUCCGUGCCAUUUGAUUUUAUAUCUUGAGUAUAUUUCUCACUAUGAAAGCUAUGGAUUUAUUACCAUGAUUUGCUUGUUAUCGCUCUAAGGAAAGGAUCAGUCGUGAUAUUGAGGAAUAUUAAUCGUGGUUCUUCUAGAAAUCAUUUAUUGCUUCGCAUAUUUGUUUCCUUGUACUCUAUUCUAUUAUGUUCUAGUAUUGUUCUAUUGCUAGUCUUCUAUACAUGUUAUAUCAGUGAGUAUCUUUUAACUAAAAAAGCCUCGUCACUACUUCACCGAGGUUAGUCAAGAUACUUACUGAGUACAUGGGGUCGGUUGUACUCAUACUACACUUCUGCACCUUGCGUGCAGAUUUUGGAGUGGAGCUGCGGAUGAUGAUGGAAGUUGACUCUAAAGAUGUUCGUGGUCCCUGGGCAGUUCUAGAGUUAAAUUCUGUUUAAGUACAUUUCAAACAGAAGUUCAAUUUAUUUCAUAUCCAUUUUUACAAUAAUCUAGUCUUAGUAGCUCAUAUCUUAUACUACCAGUCCUUGGGAUAUUGUAUGGAAUCCAGUUAUAUCAUUUGUUGAUCACCUUUAUUUUUAUUAGAAUUGUGUUAACUGUUAAUUGGCUUACCUAGCGGGUCGAGUUAGGUGCCAUCACGACUAGUGGAUUUUGGGUCAUGACAAGCUGUUAUCAUAGCACUAGGUUCGUAGGUUCUACGAGUCAUGAGCAAGUAUCUAGUAGAGUCUUGCGGAUUGGUAUGAUGACGUCCAUACCUAUGUUCGAGAGGCUACAGGGCAUUUAGGAAAAUUUUCCUUUCUUCUUUCCUUAUCGUGCGGCCUUGUUUCAACUUGAAACCUACGAUUUUGAUUCUUUUCUAUUCGUUCAUAUGUGAUGUGGCGCACUCAUUAUUCGCUACGCACUGACGAUCUGUGAUGCUGCGGAUUGAUUACGAAGGGAUAUGGAUGCUUGAUUAUCAUCGCUAUGUGUUGUCUAGUCUCGGGAGCAGAUGCAGUGUUAAAUCUUAUAGUCGUUCAUUUGUGGUACGAUGCGGGUUCUUAUAUCUAGUUGGUAAGCAUAGACUUGGGAAGACUGGCUGGUUGUCUAGCUAUUGUGAUUAAGGCGGGUUCAUGGUAAGGUGUCAAAUUGAGUACAGCCGGUGGGCCAUCUCCAGCAUGAUGAGUUUGGAUCAUGUGUUUUGUAUGAGGUUUCCAUUCGGUGGAAUGCAUAUAUGAUCGUUUUAGAGCAUUUGGGGAAGUUUGCUUGACUAUUGCAAGGAUGGGUCAGAGCUUAGCAGAGUCUUUGGAGUGUUCUAUGACCAGUAUUGCAUGAGUUUAUUCAGCUAAAUAGCCGUGCGGAAUCGGGGCAGCUAUGAAGAUAUGUUACUUUAGAUUGCCGAUGAUGUGUUAUAUGGCUCCGGGCUAAGUGGGGGAGUCUUCUAAUGACGAUCGAAUUGUAGGAUCAUGCGUUGUAUCAGUUUCCGGGCUAAGGGAUUGCUUGGUUGUUUCUUUGAAUAGUCAUGAGCUGGUGAAGCGCGGGUUGCUCGAUGCGUAUUAGCUGUGUAUUGAAGAUUAGAGUAAGGUGAGUGGUUAUCGAGAAGGUUCUGAGGAGUUCCAGGUCUUGUGUAGCAUUUAAGGACUUUUGAAUUUAUGUACAGGUAGGGCUAAGAUCGGUAGUGAAUGGUAAUCGGAUCUACGGUAGUUAUAUGUCAAGAAUGAAUCUACAUGGCAAUAUUGGAGAGAUGCAAGAAACGACUUCAGAUUCGCAGAAGGUUCCUUUAGAGAGAGCAUAUCGGAUUGAGUUACUUUCAGAUUGGCAGUCUGUGUGACUCAGUUGAGUUAGAGGUGAUCGGCUCUGAUGACUUGAUUAUGUGUUAAUGAGUUCUGAAGAAAUCAUCAUGGUUAUGACCACUGCUGGAGUUGGUGUUUGCUAUAGGUAUAGAAGUUAUAUUGUGUGUGGUGAUGUUCACCUGGAUUGAGUUAAAUGAAAGGUUCGCGGUUGAUGAGAUGUUCAAUUUGCUCAUGGUUCAGAGUUGAUUAUAAAAUUUUUGCAGUGUCACGGUCUGCGUACACACUACCAUUCCCAGACCCCACGGUGUGGGAUAAUACUGGGUAUGUUGUUGUUUUUGUUAUUGUCAGGAGUUAACAUAUUAGAGGCGAUGCGCCGUGUGGGGUUGAAAAGUUGCAUGUACAAAGAUGCAGUUUAGUUUUGGAGGGAAGGAUAUGAGAUCUUGAUGACACGGACGAUUUCGGGUGUUUAAGAUUAUGCUGGCACUAUUUGAUAUCGCUGGAGGAGGGUGCGUAUGUUGGCAGGUGCAUUGUAUUUUAACUUGUGGGUAUUUUCUGUAAGAUAAUGGAGUAUGAGUUACAUAUUAGCCAUUUGAGUAGCGGUGUUGAGAUCAGAUAUGAAGAUUCUGGUAUUCGUGAGGUUCAGAGACUGGAUGUUCUCGUUGGCUGACCAAUCCUUGAUUGCAAAUUAUGAAGAAAUGUUGAGGAUUGAGUGAUUGAUGGUGUGUGUUAUGGAAAGGUUGCUAUGGACUUUUGGAAGGUUAUUUACCUAUUUGGGAAUGAUCAAAAUUUUGUUUGGGGCAUAUUUGUGAGCCUAAUGAGAAUGUGUAUUCUAUAUCAGAUCAUAUUUGCGUGCUCCUGCGCAGCUAUUACCAUAGGUAUAUCAUCGGGCGGAAUGGAUGUUAUUCGCGCCUUGGUCUAUGUUAUGUGUUUCUCUCUUAUGUUAUGACGGGUUGUGAGGGUUACAUGAUUCUUCACACACACAUUGUAAUUCCGUUUAGGCCUUAUGGAGUUAUGGGUGAGAUGGCUGUCAUGAUGUUGACUUGCUUAUUGCACCAUAGUUGUGCUUGUCUUUCUUAGUAUUGUUGUGCCUAAUCAUCUUCCCACAGUUAUAUUGGUGCAUUCUAUCAUGUUUGAUGUUGAUGCACAUAGGAUCAGUGAGCCCGAGUAUUAUGGCUCGAUGGGUACCCUAUGUGGAUUGAUAUGAUGGGAUCGGGUUGCGCGCCGCAAUGGUACUAUGAUGAAAUGUAACUCCUUAUGCUUAUUUUGUUUAUUUUGCUUUCACCUUGUUGAAAAUAGUUCAUAGGAAAAUGCUAAAAUUACCCUGACUACUUAACUGGCUUAACAGUCUUCUUAUUUAACUAUCCUACCAUUAUCUAUUAUGUCUGAAUUAUUACUUGUUGAGUGCACGGAACCGCGUUAUGUGGGGCUCCAUGUGGUUUUUGUUGAGACUUGUCGGUUGGGCUGCUCGUAUUGGCUGCGAUUUUCACUAUCGUAUUGGGAUAAGGAAUGUUUGGAAGAAUGAUACUAUUUUUCUACUAAGGAUUUGGGCAAUGGCCCUGGUCGGACAAGUGAGUUUCUUGGCUUAUUGAUCGGAUGAGUGGCUAAGAGAUUCUGUGUGUUUCUUUCAUCAUCGGCAGUGUACGAAGGUUUUGAGUGAGGUAUUAUUUGAUAUGAGGUUUACUUCCUGUACCAGAUUUGCUUUUGGGCAGCUAUGGUGGUCAGCAGUUAUUGUUAUGAGCAUUUGAAUGAUGUGGUAUAUCACGUGAUUAUAUCUUGGGUCAUGGUUAUGGCUUGGCACAACCUGUUCAGACUUAUAAAGUGUGUAUAUAUGAGAUUCGGGUCUUGUAAGGAAUUCCGGAUGUUGGAAAUUUGGGUUCUAAGGCUUGCACGCUAAGGUUGAAUUAAGGAUCUUCAGUUAUGUUGUAUCGUCAGGCUUAUAUGGAUUAGGGUGACAUGGGAUCACCCCCGAGUAUGUGCAUGGUAAGGUUACACAGCUGUUUGAUGGCUUUGGGAUGACUCUCGACACGUUCGAGGAUGAACGUAUGUUUAAGUGGUGAAGAAUGUAACGACCCGAUCGGUCGUUUUGAGCAUUUGCACUUCGCUUGGUAGUUUGAGGGCACGAGUAUCUCCGCAUGAUGUAUUAAGACUUGUGUGAAUCGUCGGUUUUGGUUUUCAGGUAUUCAGAAUUAAUUUCGAAGAAUGAACUUCAUGAUUGAAGCUUUAAGUUGGAAAAGUUGAUCAAGUUUAACUUUUUAGCAUUUGACCUUGGAUUGGAGUUUUGAUGGUUCCAUUAGGUCCGGAUAGUAAUUUUGGACUCUGGCGUAUGCUCGGAUUUGCAUUUGAAUGUUUCUUGAAGGUUUUGGCGUUAAUUGGCGACAAUUUGCAAUUUGGAGUUUUGGAAUGUUCAUAAGUUUGACCGAAAGUUGACUUUGAUGAUAUCGGAUUCGAACUUUAGUUCCGGGAGUUGAAGUAGCUUCGUUAUGUCAUUUGGAACUUGUGUGCAAAAUUUGAGGUUAUUUCGAGUUGAUUUGAUAUGGUUCGACAUGAGAUUUGGAAGUUGAAAGUUCAAAAGUUCAUCAAGCUCGAUUCGAGGUGCAAUUCGUAAUUUUGAUGUUGUUAUGCGUGAUUUGAGGUCCCGAGUAGGUUCAUGUUAUGUUUUGGUACAUGUUGGUAUGUUUGGAUAGGGUCCCGAGGGGCUCGGGUGAGUUUCAGGUUGGUUUCAGACCCUUUUCCUCAUAUUUGGCAUAGCUGAUUCUCUGCUGGUUCUGGUGUUUCAGGCAUUCUUCGCAAUCGCGUAGGAAUACAUCGCGUAGAGUAUUGGGAGCUGCUGGUUGAUUCUUCAUCGCGUUCAUGAGAGGAGAAACGCGUUCGUGGAAGGUUGAGAGGUAGGUACAUCGCAUUCCCAUGUGGAGUUUCGCGAUUACGGAGCAGCUGGGAGUUGGGGACUUCCUUCUUCGCGUUUGCAUGACUGUGGACGCGUUCGUGUAGUGUUGGGCCUGUGUUCAUCGCAUUCGCAUGGGUAGUGACGCGAACGCGAAUGCGAAGCAUAUUUCUUUGGCUGGGCUCAUUCUGUGCAUCGCGAUCACGUGGGUACAACCGCGAUCACGUAGAGGACCACAAGAUAGGGCACAUAAGUACUCUAUUUCGGACCUUUGAGUUAUUUUAGCACAUUUUGAGUUGUGGAGCUCGGAUUUGGACGAUUUUGGAGGAGAUUUUCAUCAUAUGGAUUGGGGUAAGUGUAUUCUACUCGAUUUUGAUUAUAUUGCAUGAUUCUAUCUUUAUUUUUGGUAAUUAGAUUAUGACUUUUAAAGAGAAAUUUGGGGGGGGGGGGGUUUGCCUAAAUUUCAUAAAGUGAAUUUUUGAGUUUUGAACAUCGAUUCAGAGUCGGAUUUGAGUGAAAUCUGUUGAGUUGAACUCGUAAUUGAAUGGGUUAUCAGAUUUUGAGAGUUUCGCCGGGUUCCGAGGUGCGGGCCCGAGUUUGACUUUUUAGUUGACUUCGGGAUUUUGAUCAAAGAUUCAACCUUUACCAUUUGGAAUUGUUUCCUUAAGUAUUAUUUGAUGCCUUUGAGUUGAUAUACAUAUGCUUGGUGAGGAAGAGUGUAAAGCACGAAUGGUGAUAUCGUGCCAUUGUAUAUAUAUAUAUAUAUAUUAUCAUGUGAGGGAGAGUCUAAAGCACGAAGGGUGAUGCCAUGCCAUUUCAUAUAUUUUAUCAUGUGAAGAAAAGUGUAAAGCACAAAGGGUCAUGCCGUGCCAUUUCAUUUGAGAGUAAAAGCACGAAGGGUGAUGCCGUACUAUUUCAUUUAUAUUAUCCUGAUCUCAUUUAUAUUAUCAUGUGAGGGAGAGUGUAAAGCACGAAGGGUGAUAUCGUUCAAUUUUAUUUAUAUUACCAUGCCUUUAUGUUAUGAUGAGUUCAUAGAACGAAGGGUGUUUCCGUGCAGGCAAGGACGAGGGACAUACAUUACGUUGUGAUAUCGUUUCCUUGUGUAUAUAUUCAUGUCGUUACCUGGAAUUGUUACUGUUGUGCAUAUGUUAUCUAAGUGACUUGUCGUUGUAGUUCUGUCUUUGUCCUCAAUCUCGAUUUGUUGUGUUGUGCGUGCCUUCUAUAUGUUUAACUUGCAAAGAUCAUACCUUCCUUCCUGCUGUUAUAUCUACAUCCAUCUUGUAUCUAGUUAGUUGCAUUUUAGUAUAAGCCUUCUACCAUGCUAGCCAUUCAUGCCUCUACUUGUUAGCUUAUAAAGAUCAUGCUUUCUCCCCUUAUUUGUUAUAUCUACAUCUAUGCCUUCUACCAUGCUAGUUAGGAGAAAUUAUGUUCUUCUUUCCUAAUUGAUGUCAUCAUUCCUAUGCCUCCUACCUAGUCUAUUACUGUUGUCUAUAUGUACUGCCUUGUUCAUCAUUGUUACUUGUGUAUUUCCUACCUUGUCAUUACUGUUAUCGACAUUUCUUUCACCUUGUUGGUACUGUUAUAUGUAUAUUUGGUUAGGAUGAGAUAACUGCCACGAAGGGUGUUGCCAUGCCAUUUGAUUUUAUGUCUUGAGUAUAUUUCUCACACUAUGAAAGUUAUGGAUUUAUUACUGUGAUUUGAUUGUUAUCUCUCUAAGGAAAGGAUUGGUCGUGAUAUUGAGGAAUAUUAAUCGUGGUUCUUCUAGAAAUCAUUUACUGCUUCGCAUAUUUGUUUCCUUGUACUCUAUUCAGUUAUGUUCUAGUAUUGUUCUAUUGCUAGUCUUCAGCAAAGGUUAUAUCAAUGAGUAUCUUUUAACUAAAAAGCCUCGUCACUACUUCACCGAGGUUAGUCAAGAUACUUACCGAGUACAUGGGAUCGGUUGUACUCAUACUACACUUCUGCACCUUGCGUGUAGAUUUUGGAGUGGAGUUGCGGAUGAUGACGGGUGAUAACUCUGAAGAUGUUCGUGCCUUCCGGAUGUGGCUACCACUUGUCCCUGGGCAGUUCUAGAGUUGAAAUCUGUUUAAGUACAUUUCAAAUAGAAGUUGAAUUUAUUUCAUAUCCAUUUUUGCAAUAAUCUAGUCUUAGUAGCUCAUGUCUUGUACUACCAUUCCUUGAGAUAUUGCAUGGAAUCGAGUUAUAUCAUUUGUUGAUCACCUUUAUUUUUAUUAGAAUUCUGUUAACUGUUAAUUGGCUGACCUAGCGGGUCGAGUGACAUUAAUCAAAUCAGGAAGGGGUAGGUCUAUCUCUGUCUUUAAUGCAAAAAAUGAAGCACAACAUUCCUAGGUUCGGUAUGGUCCAGAUCAUUCCAUCCAAGUUGAUCGAUUGGUGGAACCUCCUGUAACGACCCGGCCGGUCGUUUCGAGAGUUAUAAACCCGUUCUCCCAUUUCCUGCUUCUUUUUGUGUUCUUCAUCUAUAUUAUGAUAUAUCAGGUUAGUUGGUUCGAGUUCGGAGUGGUUUCGGAGUGAAUUGAGACACUUAGUCUCUUUAUUAGAAGCUUAAGUUGGAAAGGUCAACUGGAUGUUGACUUAUAUGUAAACGAUCUCAAAUUUGAAUUUUGAUGGCUCCGUUAGCUCUGUUAGGUGAUUGUGGACUUAGGAGCGCAUCCGGAAUAUGAUUUGGAGGUCUGUGGUAAAUUUAGGCUUGAAUUGGCGAAAAUUAGAAUUUUGGCGAUUUUGGCCGACAGUGGAAAUUUUGAUAUCGGGGUCAGAUUGGAAUCCUAGAAGUUGGAGUAGGUUCGUGGUGUCAUUUCUAACUUGUGUGCAAAAUUUGAGGUCAUCCGGACGUGAUUUAGUAGGUUUCGGCAUCGUUUGUGAAAUUCGGAAGUUUAGAAGUUCUUAGGCUUGAAUCCGGGCAUAAUUUGGUGUUUGGAUGUUGAUUUAAGUGAUCCGAAGGUUCCACUAAGUUUGUAUAAGGUUAUAGGAUAUGUUGGUAUGUUUGGUUGUGGUCUUGAGGGCCUCGGGGUGAUUCCGGGUGGUUAACGGAAGAAUUGGAGUUGAUGAAAUGCAGCUGAAGCUGCUGGUUCUGGUGUCUUCCGCACCUACGGGGUGGGAGCCGCAGGUGCGAGGCGGCAGGAUCGAUUGAGGAGUCGCAGAUGCGGCCAUGGAGGACCUGGGCGGGAACCGCAGGUGCGAAGGUAUUCCCGCACCUGCAUGAGUCGCAAAUACGGGCAGGCAGGCGCAUGUGCAAGUUUUGACCGCAGAAAGGAGAGAGUUUCCGCACCUGCGUAGGGCGCAGAUGCGGUCUUGAGGCCGCAGGAGCGAAGCCAGGAUUUUAAGUGAAAUCUGCACCUGUGAUGGAAUUUCCGUAGGUACGGCAUCACAGAAGUGAUCAAUGGACCGCAAGUGCGGUAUUGCUGGGCAGAAAAGCACCAGCUCGAGGUAUUGGCUUUCAUUUUUAAUUUUGGACUUGAGAAACUCGGGAGAGAGGCGAUAUUUCGAAGGUUUUCAAGGAACAACGUUGGGGUAAGUGAUUCUAACACAUAAUGGUAUAAAUUUCAUGAAUCUAUGGCUUUGUUCAUCAUUUAAUUAGGGAUUGGAAUUGGAAAUUUGGGGAUUUAGGGCUUGGGAAUUGGAGAGUGAACUUUGGGGUUUUGGAGGGGCAACUGAGGUCGGAUUUCAGUAAAUUUGGAAUGACGAGACUCGUGAGUGAAUGGGCUUUCAGGUUUUGUGAUUUUUGUUGGAUUCCGAGACGUGGGCUCGGGGAGCCGGGUUUGAGUCGAUUUUGGAUUUUGGCUAUAAUUUGGUAAUUUUCUUGUGGAAUUGAUUCCUCUAGUCUAUAUUAAUUAUAUUGUACUGCUUGUGGCUAGAUUAGGGAUAUUUGGAGGCUGAUUCGAGGGGCAAAGGCAUUUCAGAGUAGGAUUUGCUCGGUUUGAGGUAAGUAACGCUUUCAAACUUGGUUCUGAGGGUUCGAAACCCCGAACUGUGUGCUAUACGAUUGGUAUUGAGGUGACGCACAUGCCAAGUGAUGGGCGUGCGAGCGUGCAUCAUGAAAAAUAUGGCCUGGUUGAUUCCAUGGCACUGUAUAGUGACUCUAUUUUGUUGAUAUCAGUGUUUUCAUCUUGUCAUAAAGUAAUUGAGCUGUCAAGCAUGCUAGAUAUCAUAUUUAGCCUUUAUGCCGGUACUGUUGGGACCCCAAUGGUCGUUUCUUGAUGUCAACUUAAUGAUUUCAUUGAUAUUAUGCACUCAGUCAUGUUCAUGCAUUUCAUUUUAUAUCUCUGUCUCAGUUGUUGUUUAUUGAUAUAUCAUAUCAUUGUUUCAGGCUAGUUUUCAUGAUAUUGUGAGCCCGUGAGUGAGAUUGGAGAGAUUGAUGACUUAGUGAGGCUGAGAGCCUGAUUAUGAGUGACAGUUAUGGGAUCAGGCUACACGGCGCAGCGGUUAUACUGGUUUUGUGAUAGCGCUUAGGCUGUAGGAGCCCCUCCGGAAUCUGUACACACCCCCAGUGAGCGCGGUUGAUAUUAUUGAGGGAUGAAUCUUCCCUAGACAUGAAUCUUGUUUGGAGAUGGAUCUUCUCCAUAGGGCUGGAUUGGCCUUCUUCGGUACUGGGUGACUUAUAGUCAGUGAUGUAUAUGUUCUGGGAUGGAUCUUCCCUGGGCCGUAUGGGCCAUAUACAGUACCGAGUGGUUGAGCAUUCGAGAGUGUGAGCACAUGAGGGUGAUAGCAUGGUGCAUCACAUAGAGCAUGUGCAUUGGCAUAUAGAGAUAGCAGAGUUAUAUUCUUUACACUGUUCGGAUCUGCUUCACUUUACUGUUUGAGUUGCCUAUUUAAUUUGAAAGCAUGCCUACAUUUCUGUUCAGUUAUUUCUAUUUUAUCUAUACCGGUUGAGUUUGUCACUACCUUUCAGUUCAAAGUUUGGACUUUUUACUUACUGAGUUGGACGUACUCACGUUACACCCUGUACCUCGUGUGCAGAUCCAUGCGUUUUUGGUCACGACGACGAUUGCUAAUUGUAGCUUCAGAGUUUGGAGACUACCAAGGUAGUUGUACGGCGUUCGCAGGCCUUGACUCUUCUCCUCUAUCACCAAUUGUAUUUUCAGUUUAUUUUUCUAGGCACUGUAGUGGACUGUAUUCUAAUUUAGACGCUCAUGUACUCUGUGACACCCUGGUUUAGGGAUGGAUUGUAUCUUAUUUUGGAUAUUUCUGUUUUGAAAAAGGCUUUCCUAAAUUAUUAAAUUGCUUCUGUCUUUAUGUUCAAAGAUUUUUCUGUGUUGGGAUGUUGCGUUGUGGUUUUCCAAGUUCCACGAUAGGCGCCAUCACGACGGGGUAGGAUUUGGGUCGUGACAAGUUGGUAUUAGAGCCUAGGUUACAUAGGUGUCACGAGUCCUUUGCGGGUUUAGUAGAGUCUUACGGAUCGGUACGGAGACGUCUGUACUUAUCUUCGAGAGGUUGAGAACCCUUAGGAAAACUCCACAUUCUUGAAUUCUUGUCGUGUGAAUCUGUUGAUUCUAGUAACUAAACAUCUGUUGUUUCAUUCUAUCACAAAUGGUGAGGACUCGUACUACCGUGCAGGAUGGACAGCCACCAGUACCACCAGCCAGGGCCGCGAGAGGCCGAGGGCGCGGUAGAGGCUGCGGUAGGGGAAGAAGUGCAGCCUGCACAGCAGCUGGGGCAGUACUUGCAGAUCCACCAGUUGCCCCAGAUCAGGACCAGAUUCCAGUUGCUGAUGCACCAGCUCAGGCACCACCUAUUCCUAUUGCGAUUCCAGCCCAUCAGGAGGUCUUAACUCAGAUUCUUACCGUGUAUACCAGUCUUACUCAGGCGGUCUCUGGUCCGGCCGCAGCAACCACUUCUCAGGCCGGGGGAGGUACUCAGACACCUGCUUCCCGCACACCAGAGCAGGUGGUACAUGGAUUCCAUACACCGAGGCACCACAAGCCCAGCCGGUUGCAGCUGCUCAGGACUAUGUGGUUCCUUCUAUGCCCGAGGAUGAGCAGUGUAGAUUGGAGAGAUUUGGGAGGCUCUGGCCUCCAUCUUUUAGUGGUGUAGAGGGAGAGGAUGCACGGGGCUUCUUGGACAGGUGUCAGAGGAUAAUCCGUACAGUAGGUAUUCUGGAGACCAGUGGUGUCUCGUUCACUACCUUUCAGUUCUAUGGGGCUACAUUCAGUUGGUGGGAAGCUUACGAGAGGCGUAGGCCGGUAGGCGCAAUGCCUCUUACCUGGCAGCAGCUCUCCGUUAUCUUUUUGGAGAAGUUCGUGCCUCAGUCCCGCAGAGAGGAGCUACACAGAUAGUUUAAGCAGCCUCGUCAGGGUGAUAUGUCUGUGACGCAGUAUGAGAUACGAUUCUCGGAGUUGGCCCAUCAUGAUAUCUGGUUGGUUCCCACAGACAGGGAAAGGAUCAGGAAGUUUAUAGAUGGCCUCACUUAUCAGCUGCGAUUGCCUAUGACCAGAGAGAGAGUAUCUAGUGCUACUUUUGAUGAGGUUGUCGACACUGCUCAUCAAAUUGAGAUGGUUCACAAUCAGGAGAGGGUUAAAAAGAAGGCCAAGAGGCCUCGUGGGCAAGGAGGAUUUAGUGGUGCUCCUUAUGGGGGUCAGUUAUAGCACAGUAGAGGUCGUCCCUUCAGGGAUGCUCAGACGGCUCGCCUAGUGCACCGAGGUGCAUCAUUCGGUCAUGGGCCCCAUGGUUAUCAGUAGGGCCAGAUAUCAUUCGGUGCGCUACCAGCUCAUAGUUCGUCACAUGCACCAUCAGCUCAGGGUUCAUCUAUGUCAGGACCUUCUAGCGGUUAUUCCAGUGCUCGGGGUUCCCUUCAGUCCCCACCGCCAUUUACAGAGAGAGGUUGCUUUGAGUGCAGAGAUUUGGGUCAUAUCAAGAGGCAUUGUCCCCGCCUUUCGGGAGGUUCAUCUCAGCAGAGAAGUCAGCCUUCGACUUCGGCACCAGUUAUUUCACCACCCGCCCAGCCAGAUCGGGGUGGAGCUCAGACAGCUAGGGGUCGCCCUAGAGGGGGAGGCCGAUCAGGUGGAGGUCAGGCCCGUUUCUAUGCACUCCCUGCCAAACUAGAUGCUAUUGCUUCGGAUGUUGUGAUUGCAGGUAUUGUCUUAAUUUGCCAUAGAGAUGCCUUGUAUUAUUUGACCUUGGUCCCACUUAUUCAUAUGUGUCCUUGCAUUUUGCUCAUUAUCUGGAUAUGCCCCGUGAGUCUCUAGUUUCACCUGUUCAUAUGUCUACGCUGGUGGGCGAUACUACUAUUGUGGACCGUGUAUAUCGGUCAUGUGUGGUGACUAUUGGGAGUCUGGAGACUAGAGUAGAUCUAUUAUUGCUUAAUAUGGUCAAUUUAGAUGUUAUCUUGGGUAUGGUGAGUUAUCAGAUAUUUUGUGAUAUGGCUUUGAGCCAUGUAGGGGAGUCUGCUAUCUAUGAUUUGAUUGCACGAUUUUGUACGGUAUUAGUUUUGGGCUGAGGCAUACUUGUUGAUUGGUUAUAACUUGCAGAGGUUGAUAUCGGGGAUGACUGGAGUAAGACAAUUUCUUGAAUGCAGGUUAUAUCGCACUUUAUGAAAAAAAAUCAUCAUGAAAUGGUUAAAUUGUUAUUUUGAAGGAUGUAGUACGCACGCGGUGUGAAUUGAUAGGUGGCGUUAAGGCAGGGUUACCCCUUCGAGCGUUCCUGUGCUAAUGAGGCACGUGUCUUUCAGCCCGUUUGGGCGGUGCAAUUUAGAAUCUGAAAUUUACAUUUAAUGGUGCCGAGAUUUGCAGUAAUUCUGUAUGAUUAUGGAUUCUAUAUUUUAGUAUAAGAAAGGUAAGAAGAAUAAUUUUAAAUUCGCAUAAGGUAUUCUCAGAGUGAGCGUUACAGUUGAGGUGUUUAUGGAGGUACUUAAGAAGAGUACAAUGGCUUACGGGCCUUAUGGUGGUGUGGUGUUAUGUUAGGGGGUCUUGUAGUGAGAUUUGGGUAAGGAUCGUGGAGUUCUGACAAUGAGAAGUAUCAAAUUGAGGAUACUUUAGAAUAAACUCGAAGUAAAUAUGACAACUGGAUAGUAGGCUAGACCAGUAUAGUGAUGACAUGAUAGAUGUGGUGUGUUAUGCAGGAUUAAGAUUUACAUGUACAAGGAGACAGUUCAUUCUUGAAGGCAAGUUCACGAAUUCUGGACAUAAUGGUUAGUGUUGUAUAUUUAGAUGAAUGUUAUAGUUGCUCGGUAAUCCCUGAGAGGGGUGCGCGGUUGAAAGGGGCAUUGUGUUUUGAUUUACGGAUGUUCAUUGGUAUUGCGAUACUUUUCUGGUUGAUCGACUGCUGAUAUUCACUUUUGCUAUGUGGCACGGGAGAAUUUUAGGAGUAUUCCUCGUGGAUGAUCGUGUAAAAGAGAUGUGUUAGACAUUCUGGCGGUGGAGUUGGAAUCAGAUAUGGGAUUCGUGUGUUAUAUAGAUUUGGAGACUCGAAGUUCACAAGAGCAGGUUGUUUCCAUGGUUGUGGAUUGUAAAGUCAUGGCCGAAGCUAGCUAGAUGAUAGUAUGUGUUAUGAUUCAGUCAUUGUGGGCUUUCAGAGGGUUAUUGAUCCAUGUGGGGGUGCCCGGAAUUGAUUUGGGGGUCCAUGGGUAGGCCCAAUUAGGAUGUGUAUUCUACACCGAGUCGAAUUGGUUGACUCCAUACUGCUAUUAUUGAGGGAUGUGUCAUUCGGUUGUUGAUGAGCUUAUUCGUGUUUCGAUAUGUUCGGUGAGUUACUCUUCUAUGCUACAAGGGGUUGUGAUUCGUUAGUUGUAUGCACCUAUGGUGCAGUUCUAUUGGGGCCUUAUAGCGAAAAUUUGCGCGAGAUGGGUAUUUGGGCGAUGCAUGAGUGGUUGCGCAUUGGUUAUGUUCUUUUGGGUUUGUGUGGCAUUGUGUCAUUUGCUUCUCUAUGGUUAUGGUAAUGCACUUUGAGUACUUGAUGCCUGAUUGCGCGUGGUUAUUGAUUUUGAGCAUGGUGGCUGAGGUAUUUCAUGUGGAUCCGUGUUUGGAUGGGGUCGCGUAUUGCGGCAGAGUUAUUUUAAGAUAUGAUCCUUGUGUUAGAUUCGUGUGUUAUGGUUCUACGGUGUGUGAUGGGUUCUUAACAUUGCGUUGGGGUGGUACCCAUCGGGCUUAUGGGACGAUUCUCUUGUUUGAGCCAUUUUUGUGAUUGAGCACAUUUGGAAGGUUGCUUAUUGGUGCGCGGAUUGCACGAGUUGUGGAUUUAGAUAGUAUUGGUGUGUCAUGUCAGUAGAGUAGCUGGUAUUUGAUAAGAUGAAGUCGUCGGAUCUAGGAUGGGUGCUAUCAGAUUUGGUUGUGGCAUAUUUGGAAGGAUAAUAUCGAAAGUCAGCUUAGGAAUUUGCUAUGGUUCUUGUCGAAGGAGAGAGAGCUCCACGACUGGUAGGUCUGGUGAAUAGUUACGAGUCUCUACGUGUUUCUUUAAUCAUCGGUGGUGUACAAAGGUUUUAGAAUGGAGUCUUAUUUGAUAUGAGGUUUAUUACCGGCAUGGGGUUGUUUCGAGUAGCUACGGUGAUUAGAAAUCAUUGCUUCGAGCAUUUGAGCAAUGUCGUAUUUGAAGUUUGAGAAUUUGAGUUAUGGUUAUGGCUUUUGGUAUAGCUUGUUCACACUUAUACAGUGUGCAGGUGGCGGGAUUCUGAUCUUAUGAGAAAUUCUGGAUGUUGGAAAUUGGAUUCUAAGGCUUGUGGGCUAGGUAAAAUUAAGAAAUUUCAGUUAUGUGUUGUUAUCAGACCUAUAUGGGAUAGGGUGAUGUUGGAUCAACCCCGGGUACGUGCGUGGUAAGAUGGAAUAGUGAUUUGGUGACUUGGAAACAACUCUUGGCACGUUCGAGGACGAACGUAUAUUUAAGUGGGGGAUGAUGUAACGACCCGACCGGUCGUUGCGAGAGUUAUAGCCUCGUUCCCCCAUUUCCUGCUUCUUUUUGUGUUCAUCAGCUAUAUUAUGAUAUACCGAGUUAGUUGGUUCGAGUCCGGAGUGGUUUCAGAGUGAUUGAGACACUUAGUCUCUUUAUUAGAAGCUUAAAUUGGAAAAGUCAACCAGAUGUUGACUUAUGUGUAAACGAUCUUGGAUUUGAAUUUUGAUGGUUCCGUUAGCUUUGUUAGGUGAUUGUGGACUUAGGAGCGCGUCCGGAAUGUGAUUUGGAGGUCCGUGGUAGAAUUAGACUUGAAUUGGCGAAAAUUAGAAUUUUGACGAUUUUGGCCGGCAGUGCAAAUUUUGAUACCGGGGUCGGAUUAGAUUUCUGGAAGUUGGAGUAGGUUCGUGGUGUCAUUUCUAACUUGUGUGCAAAAUUUGAGAUCAUCCGGACGUGGUUUGGUAAGUUUCGGCAUUGUUUGUGGAAUUCAGAAGUUUAGAAGUUCUUAGGCUUGAAUUCGGGCAUAAUUUGGUGUUUUGAUGUUGAUUUGAAUGAUCUGAAGGUUCGACUGAGUUUGUAUAAGGUUAUAGGAUAUGUUGGUAUGUUUAGUUUUGGUCCCGAGGGCCUCGGGGUGAUUCCGGGUGGUUAACGGAAGAAUUGGAGUUGAUGAAAUACAUCUGAAGCUGUUGGUUCUGGUGUCUUCCGCACCUGCGGGGUGGGAACCACAUAAGCGAUUGAUAAGCUGCAGAUGCAUCCAUGGAGAACCUGGGCUGGAACCGCAAGUGCGAAGGUAUUCCUACACCUGCGUGAGUCUCAGAUGCGGGCAGGAAGGCGCAGGUGCGAGUUUUGACCGUAGAAGCGAGAGGGUUUCCGCACCUGCGUAGGGCGCAGAUGCGGUCUUAAGGCCACAGGAGCGAAGUUAGGAUUUUAAGUGAAAUCCGCACCUGCGAUGGAAUUUCUGCAGGUUUAGCGUCGCAGAAGCGAUCAAUGGAAUGCAGGUGCGGUAUUGCUGGGUAGAAAAAGCACCAUCUCGAGGUUUUGUCUUUCAUAUUCAAUUUUGGACUUGAGAAACUCGGGAGAGAGGCGAUGUUUCGAAGGUUUUCAAGGAUAAAUGUUGGGGUAAGUGAUUCUAACCCAUAAUGGUAUAAAUUUCGUGAAUCUAUGGCUUUGUUCAUCAUUUAAUUAUGGAUUAGAAUUGGAAAUUUGGUGAUUUAGGGCUUGGGAAUUGGAGAGUGAACUUUGGGGUUUUGGAGGGGCAACUGAGGUCAGAUUUCGGUAAAUUUGGUAUGACUAGACUCGGGAGUGAAUGGGCUUUCGGGUUUGAGUUAAUUUCGGAUUUUGGCUAUAAUUUGAUAUUUUUCUUGUGGAAUUGAUUUGUUUAGCCUAUAUUAAUUAUACCGUACUGCUUUGGCUUGAUUCGGGGCAUUUGGAGACUGAUUUGAGGGGCAAAGGCAUUUCAGAGUAGGAUUUGCUCGGUUUGAGGUAAGUAACGCUUUCAAACUUGGUUCUUAGUGUUCGAAACCCAGAACUAUGUGCUAUACGAUUGGUAUUGAGGUGUGCACAUGCCAAGUGACAGGCGUGAGAGCGUGCACCGUGAAAAAUGUGGCCUGGUUGAUUCCAUGGCACUGUAUAGUGACUCUAUUUUGUUGAUAUCCAUGUUUUCAUCUUGUGAUAAAGUAAUUGAGCUGUCAAUUAUGCUAGAUAUCAUGUUUAGGCUUUAUGCCGGUACUGUUGGGACCCUUAGUGGUAGAUUCUUGCUGUCAUCUCACUGAUUUCAUUGAUAUUAUGUACUCAGUCAUGUUCAUGCAUUUCAUAUCAUAUCUCUAUCUCAAUUGUUGUUUAAUGAUACAUCAUAUCAUUGUUUCGGGAUAGUUUUCUUUAUAUUGUGAGCCCGUGAAUGAGACUGGAGAGAUUGAUGACUGAGUGAGGCUGAGAGCCUGAUUAUGAGUGACAGUUAUGGGAUCGGGCUGCACGCCGCAGCGGUUAUACUGGUUUUGUGAUAGCGCUUGGGCUGUAGGAGCCCCUCCGGAGUCUGUACACACCCCCAGUGAGCGUGGUUGAUAUUAUUGAGGGAUGGAUCUUCCAUAGACAUGGCUCUUGUCCGAAGUACUUGAUACCUGGAGAUGGAUCUUCACCACAGGGCUGGAUUGGCCUUCCUCGGUACUGGGUGAUUUAUAGUCAGUGAUAUAUAUGUUCUGGGAUGGAUCUUCCCUGGGCCGUAUGGGCCAUAUACAGUACCGAGUGGUUGAGCAUUCGAGAGUGUGAGCAUAUGAGGCUGACAGCAUGGUGCAUCACAUACAGCAUGUGCAUUGGCAUGUAGAGAUAGCAGAGUUAUAUUCUUUACACUGUUCGGAUCUACUUCACUUUACUAUUUGAGUUGCCUAUUUAAUUUGAAAGCAUGCCUACGUUUCUAUUCAGUUAUUUCUAUUUUAUCUAUACUGGUUGAGUUCGUCACUACCUUUCAGUCCAAAGUUUGGACUUGUUACUUACUGAGUUGGACGUACUCACGUUACUCUCUGCACCUCGUGUGCAGAUCCAUGCAUUUUUGGUCACGGCGGCGGUUGCUGAUUGUGGUUUCAGAGUUCGGAGACUACCAAGGUAGUUGUACGGCAUUCGUAGGCCUUGACUCUUCUCCUCUAUUACCCGUUGUAUUUUCAGUUUAUUUUUCUAAACACUGUAGUGGGCUAUAUUCUAAUUUAGAUGCUCUUGUACUAUGUGACACCCUGGUUUUGGGAUGGAUUGUAUCGUAUUUUGGAUAUUUCUGUUUUCAAAAAGGCUAUCCUAAAUUAUUAAAUUGCUUCUGUCUUUAUGUUCAAAGAUUUUUCUGUGUUGGGAUGUUGAGUUGUAGCUUGCCUAGUUCCACGAUAGGCGUCAUCACUACGGGAUAGGUUUUGGGUUGUGACACCUCCCUCGGUGUGAUAGGAAUCAUGCGAGAAGGAUAUUGGGCAACUUGCCAUCCUUAAUAGAUGUUCGGCCAUACAGGGAACUGAUCGAGGCUGCUACUAUGUUUUGGGAUGAGAAAAGGCCGUCUUUCAAUUUGGAAACUUAGAGAUGACCCCACUAUUGGAGGAAAUUGCAGAUUUUGCUAAACUACCCUGGGUUAGUCCGGGUUUGCUGGUGCCGGAAUGUCAUGCCCCAAACCUGGGGAGGCAUAGCCGGCACUCGGUGCCAUACUCGGCCCGAGGGUACCACUCUUUAACUGUGAACUCUGGAGGGGUAACCCUCAACUUAGCCCGAUGAGGCCAACCUGCAAGCUGACAAUACCAAUCAAGGCCGACAAGGCCACCAUGAAUGUCUACAACCAGUAAUACCAAACUGACAUGUACACAGGGCUGACAAGGCCACAAUACCGAUAUACAAAAUAUACAGGACUCGUCUAUAAAACUCUAGAGAUAACUAAAUUGUAUCAUGGUCGGACAUAGCCUCGACCUACCCAUCAAACCUGUAUAUAUAAAAUGGACUCCAAGGUCUAGACCUGGUACCUACGAAAAAGUGGAGCUUACCAACCAAGCUCAUGUUUGAUUCUGUCUAUUGGAAAGGACUAUCCAACUGUCUAUCAGGACCUGCAUGUAUGAAAUGCAGUGUCCCAGGCAAAGGGACAUCAGUACAAAAUAAUGUACCGAGCAUGUAGACAAUAGAAUAACUGAAAGUUGAGACUGAACUGAUAAAAUAAUAACUCAAAGUAACUGAGAGUCAAAGAUGAUCUGAAGAUAUGCUUACCUGUUGAUACUGACUCAACUCUCUCAAUAUAGUAAGUAAAAUAGUUGUCCGGCCCUAUAAGGCAUGGUACGUGUAACUGCUCUACCAUAGUAGCCUCACUCAUAGGCGCUCAGCCAUACUAGGUUCGGUAUCUCGGCCAUCCUAGGCUCGCUAAUAGGCGCUCGAACAUAGUAGGCUCAGUAUAUACCUUACAGUCUGAUCAGAGGUUGCCUAAUAGGGGCCUACCCACCGAUUAUAACUCGAUGGAGGUGAAAAUACUGUAAUACUUUCCAAUAGGGGCCUGCCCACAGAUUAUAGCUCGAUGGUGGUGAAAAUGCUAUAAUGAUUGAUAUAUAUAUAUAUAUAUAUAUAUACAUCCUCUGCUCUCUUGACUGGAAGAAGGCAAUACUUAACUGAAUAUAAAGUCCCGACAAGAUAGAAUACGAUAACUUAUGAGACUAGGAUAAUGAACAUAAAUUCAGGAAUACGACCUUCUCAUUAUGUCUCAUUAUCAAAUGCAUGUAUUUACGGGAUCAUGCCAAAAUGAAGAAAAGGUUUAGCCUUAACAUACUUUAUCACAAUCUGUUCAAUAACAAUGUUGAACUCGUCUCGUCACACUUCAAUCUACAACAAUGAUAAUAAUGCUAUCGUUAAGCUCUGAAAGAUGCAACUAUCGUAUAACGACUGACAAGCUUAUUUUAUAUUAAAACGGGUAGCAUUUCCCAUAUUUUCCUUGCUUUCCCAAGUCCAUAAACCAACAGGAACACAUACAACCUUAACCUAUAUACUUUCAGCACCACAACACAAAUCAAGCUACACAACAACAAGUGCAUAACAAUAGCAACAUGUAUACAUCAUUUUCCAACCAUACAUCCAUCACAAAAUACCAUAAAAUAGCACACACACACCAUAAUCACUUCAUACACAAAACGACAACCAUAGUAGUGUCAAACAACCCAAAAAUAUAAUGACGAAUGACUAGCCCACCACCCUGCCCUUAUGUGGUGUUUCUCCAUACCCUUUCUCCUCAAAAAAUCCAUAAAACAGUAGCAAAACCGAAAACCCAACAAUCAACACAAAAUAGCCCAAAAAAUAGUCCACUACAAGUUGAAUAACUCAAACUCACGACUUCCGAUCACCGUCCGGUGAGUUCUUACAAUUAUAGAACAUUUUUUUCUACUUUUCCAGCUGAGAAAAUAUAUGAAAGAGAGAACUAUACUUACCGUAUUUGGUGAAUAUCUCAGCUCCUAUAUUGAUUCUUCAACCCUUAGGUUUUCCUCCAACUAGAACUUGAAAAGAAGAGAAAAUCAUUUAGGGUUUUGUAUUGAAUUUUUGGGAGACGUUUGCAGGGGUGUAUCUCUGAUUUUAUUGCUCUAUAAUGAGUGUAAUAUAUGAAGGAAAUCAGCCCUUAAAAGUACUCUUUUUCCGACCCCAACUAGCCCUUUUUUGGACAAAUUUGGUCAUUUCAUUUAAGCAAGUAGGUGACACACCUACUUGUCGCCUAUGCAGUCUGCACAGUCUCGUAUAAAUAGAAAUAUCUCUCUACUCCGAUGUCGUAUUGACAACGGUUGAAUGCAUUGGAAACUAGACUUAUAGAUCUUCAAAUUUGUGGGUGGAUCAUUCAGUAAUUCCAAUUACAUUGGGAGAAAAGAUCAGCUACAUUUGACCAAAUUUUCAGCACAUUAAUGAAUGUAACUUGUGAUGACCUUUGCCAAAUUUUGUUCCACAACUCGCUUGGCUCCAAAACAUAACACACGACUAUCAUACGACUAAAAUAAAACAUAACAUAAGAUAUUUAUCAUGUUGAGCACCCUAGUCUCACCCCAAAAGUACAUGUUAUAACAUUCCCAACUUGUCAUCUUUCGACGAAACUUGUUUUCUUCAAUCUAUUUAGCUUCUAAGACUUCCAACCCUCUUGGUACUUGUUAUUCAUGAUCUUAAAUAUUUGUAACCUCUAAGGUAACAUGAUUAACUUGCUUUAUGUACUUUUAAAUAUGAUCUCAUUUCUGAGCUUAUAUCAAUUGACUUAUGAUGUUCUCUCACCUACGAAAACAUGGGGUGUAACAUCAAUGCCCCCUUUGGAACAUUCGUCCUCGAAUGUUGCCGAUGCUCUUAUCAGUAUUAUAACCUAUAGCUCUUACAAAUACUUUAAUACUUCCCUUGACAUCUAGGCAAUUGUUUUAUGAAUAAAUCCAAAGGUAGGGGCAUUCCUCCCUUUAGGCCUCUUUCUCACACCAUGACCUUUGUCGUAAUUCUUCCAAUCUUGUAACUAUUGCUACCUUCUGUCAUGCAGCCUGAAUGACUCUGUCCUUGUAUGUGCGCCUAUGCGACUCUUUUCUCCUUUUUACUCUAGCUUUUAGCCAAUUUCUAGGCCUCACUUUGUAAACAUAUACAAAACUAUGACAAGUUGUCCCUUUGGGCAUUUAUAGGUGUAUUAAAGUUCUUUGCUCAGUACUUUGUCAAACUUACGACUAUUGCUAUAUCUUCUUGUUUCAUAGCCUCGGUUAUCUAUGCUUAUGGAUUUACUACAUCUAGGUAGGUCAUACUAUACCAUAACUCUUACUUCAGUUUUAAUAUUACCGGGGUCUGCUACCCAACUCAAGGUUACUCUCUCGCUGCUUAUCUUAUAUGUAUAAAUCUAAGCCCUUUAAUGCUUUUUCAUUACUGUUCAUCUUAAGAAUGACAGCCUAAUCUCAUCUCAUACUUUGUAACUUUUAUCCAUCUAUUAUUGAUUUACCUUAAUAUUGAUCUAUAAUCUACCACUGAUAAUUUGAAACCUUUCACGUAAUACAUUAUCACUGGGGCUCACGUCUCAUCGAGGAACAUCUGAAAUGAUUUGCCUGAUCCACCUAGGGACGAUACUAUAUUCAGUAAUCAUAUUUCAUAGCAUCCCAACAUGAUCCAUCUUAUGGGGGUAUUCUAAUCCUGUACAAUUCAUGAAAUCUCUUUGGUUUUGAAUCAUUACCCAAUCAAAGGCCUAAAUUUCAUCCUCUUAUCUAUCACAAUUACACCCUUAUUCUACUACCAGGGCAGCAUUUCAUCUCUUCUAAAUGCUCCUAGUCUUAGACUCCUCUGAGUUCAUUUAGGCUAUACUAAGCUUUCUAUAAGUUACGGAAACCAUCAGCUCUCUUGUUUUGAUGGGCUUAAUCCCGAAACCUUACCUAUUAUCAUCACCUUCUCACUCACAUUUACCAUACUUACCUUUAAAUCUCGCAUCGUAUCUUCUACCGCUUUCAUAACCUCCCUUCCACAUUGGUGGAAUUCACAUCCACACCUUAAAGCUCUACUACAAAACUUGCAUCCCUGGUGCAUACAUAAUCUGGUGGGAGCUUCAUAUUGACAUCUUAUGAGGCUAGUACUAUUCUAACUGGCUUUAUUGUAGAGCUGUUAUAGAAUAUGACCAUUGUACUAUCUCUCUUGUACUUCUGCUAUUAAAAGUGAUUCUAUAAUGGUUUGAGUCACGAUUUCUAUAAUCAUCUAGGUCUAACAAUCGGACUCCUGAUAUAACUCUCGAGCUUCCUCUUCCCCCUCAGCCUUUAUGUAGGCUUAAGCUUUCUUCCAAGCUUAGGCCUAGUGUAUUAGCUAUUACAUUAGCCUUUCGUGGACUCUAUGUAGCAUCAAUGAUAUAAUCUUCUGACAAAUCAAGCCUUUGUCUGUGAUGUGGACUUAAUUAUUUCUUUUAACUUAUACUGGAGUCUCCUAUAGAUUUAUGAAUGUCAACAUAUAUGCCGCAUGGAUAACACUCUAAAAUCUUAAGUGUGUUCACAAUGUAACUAACUCUGGGUCAUUGAUCGAAUAAUUCCUUUCAUGCCUUCUUGGCUUUCUUUAAAAGUAAACAAUAACUUUUCCUAGUCGUUCUGCCACUUGUUACAUGAAUACUUGGCUUAUCUUAGUGCCCACAAAUACUGGAAUUUUGUGCAACUCAUAUGAUCUCGAAUAUCACUUUUGAUUCUUACUUCCCGUUUAUUAGCCACGAUAGGUGCCACUUUCUUAUGGAGUGCAAGCAAUGUUGUAGUGAGACUGUUAUUACAAGAUCAUUUCUUCUUCAGGUCGCUAUGCUUAGGUUGAAGCCAUCUUUCUUAUUUCCUCAGCUAGUCUUUCGUUAUAGUACUUAGGGGAGACCCUCUGACUCUUGUAAAUCUGCAAGCUUAUUACAUCGUAUAACCGACAGAAGUUUUGGUGUUCUUACUCACCUAUAAUUAUCCUUAAUUGCUUACCUCCGCGCCCUUGUGCUCAUAGGGUUGCUUUUGAAUUGACAUUUUGAUUGUCUUCCCAAUGGCACUCUCUUUUAUUUUCGUAACACUUAUACGGCACCUUUAACUACCCUAACUCCUAUCUAAAUACUUCUCAAGGAUUACGAUGUCAAUCUGCGAGACUGAAUUCCCUAUGUUGGGAUUUACUACAUUUAUCUUACAUCAUAUGUUGAUUUAACUAUAACGUCUCAUCUGGCCAUAACUNNNNNNNNNNNNNNNNNNNNNNNNNAUUAUUUCCUUUAUCUUAACUUACCUCUCGCACUGGCUCGUUAUGUAUCAAGUGUUCAUUCACACUUAUUUAUCAAUAACAUCCUGGGCGGGAAUCCUUACUGUCUUUCCCCGUGUCGUGCUUGCAUAAUGUUCUGGAGUCGUGACAUAUCUAUAGGAUCUGAAUAAAUACAAUCUCAUUCCUUUUGCCUUUUUACUGCAUUCUUCCUUUACCAUCUUAUAUUUACUUGAAUCACUUAACUCCGACUUAAUACCAUAUCAUACCAUCUUCCCCCUUUUCGAUAACCCUUAUUUGCCUUGCGGUAACCCUUUUGUGCUAGGGAUAACUGAAUUUUUUACGUACGAGGGGGACACCUAGUGUAACUGGCACAUUCAUUCCCUUAAGCUUAAUUAUGCUCACCGUGCUUGCUUUAGGGAAGCGUCUUCUUGAAUGACCUUUAAAGGUUAUUCUUCUUUUGUCCAUUCUAUUAUUGCUGGAACGCGGCCUCUGAAAUUCUCACGAUGUCGAAUAUUAUCAAAUCUUCCGAUCCCUAAUUCAUGUUCAGUCUAUCUUGUUCACUAGUCCACACUGAUUUCUAUUACUCGGGAGGGGUCUAACUUAGCUUUCUAGAAAUCACGUUGGAUUCACCAACGCAUUUCUAGAAAUGAGGAUAUGACUUUAUGGCUUAUACUCUUUUAUAGUCUUAAGGCUUGUCUCCUCUUGUCUUUUCCUUCGCUUGAUUAUAGACUUUGUUAUCUUAUCAUAUUUUAGUUUACCGUUAUUACCCGGUUAUCACAUCUUACUCAUAAUGCUUCAUUUAAUCUUUUUUUAUUCUCCCACUAAUGUUUCUGUCUAUUACCUUGUUCUGAAAACCUCAACAAACAUUCUUUCACUUUUAGAUACCCUUGCUUCAUCCACUGGCUCUUUGAGUCACCUUACAUUCUCUCAUUACUAGGGAUGGGAGCCAUACUAAGGUAAAUAUUUAUCCCUUCAAGGAUUCAAGGGCCUACCUUCUGAAUUUUCUGAACAUUCUAGUUUUCAUAUCUAAAUGUGCUAUUCUAGAAUGCACCAUCUAGGUGUCUUACAAGGAGAACUAUUACCAUGUUUGUAAUAUCCUUCGGAAAUAUCAGCUAACACUAACAAUUCAUCCACCAUUUUGGAUUAAUCUAACCCCAGAUGGAUCCUGAUAUACCAUCCUUCUCUUAAAUUAUAUAUGUUAGCUCCCAUAGGGCAUAACCGAGAUGGAUGUGGCCAAUUUUACAUGCCUCUAUUACUGUUGAAGCUAACUCAGAAUGCUUAUAUUUCUCUACCUGAAUUGUAAAUACUGAUAAUAUUCAUUAACUGGGUACCUCGUACCCUCCUUCACCUUGCUUAUGCUACCUAUUGAAACUUAUACUUUUACCUUCGAUACUCCCAUGCCCUGUUAUUCGCGGGGUAUGUUAGAUUUCACAUCUUAGGGUCUUAAGCAGGAAAUUCGCACAUCUGGUACGCACGAUCUGAUAGGGCCUCAAACUGGGCCACAUUGUAAAGAAUUCUCUCUCUACUAGUGCCCUUACCUGCUACUGUAUUAGCCCUCUAGCUAGAUGUAAUUUUACUAAUUACAAGCAUCUCUAUAUCAUUAGCAAAUAUAAGUCCUGGCUCUAACUCAUAUGACUCCGCUCUAUAACACAAUUUAGAUUUGAAAGAAAGGUAACAGACUCCUAAAUGCCUUGUAGCUUCAUGUUUAUAUAUUGUGGUGCACAACACAUCUAUAAACAAGGCUCUACUAGACACAGCUUGUACACUCCCUAAGAUAUAACUGCUCUAAUACCAAGUUUGUCAUGCCCCAAACCUGGGGAGGCGUGGCAGGCACCCGGUGCCAUACUCGGCCCAAGCAUACCACUCUAUAACUGUGAACUCUGAAGGGGCAGCCCUCAACUUAGGCCGACGAGGCCUACCUGCAAGCUGAAAAUACCAAUCAAGGCCGACGAGGCCACCAUGAAUGUCUACAAUUAGCAAUACCAAACUGACAUCUACACAGGGUUGGAAAGGCCACAAUACUGAUAUACAAAAUAUAUAGGACUUGUCUACAAGCCUCUAAAGUUAACUGAAUUGUAUCAUGCUCGGACAGAGCCUCGACUUCCCCAUCAAACCUGUAUAUACAAUAUGGACUCCAAGAUCUAGACAUGGUAACUCCGAGGAAAUGGAGCUUACCAACCAAGUUGAUGUUUGACUCUGUCUACUGGAAAAGACUAUCCAGCUGUCUAUCAGGACCUGAGGAAUGAAAUGCAGUGUCCCCGGCAAACGGGACGUCAGUACGAAAUAAUGUACCGAGUAUGUAAGGCAAUAGAAUUACUAAAAACUGAGACUGAACUGAUAAUAUCAUAAUUGAAAGUGCCACACCUCCUUUUUCGGGGGAUUGUGGAAAGAAAGGAGUUUUUUCAAUUUAAGUGACAUUAUUUGAAAAGGGAUUAAUUUAUUUUAUUUUAAAGAGUCGCCACUUGGAAUAAAUAUUUACGGUGUCCCAUGUCAUCAUUUAUUUUAAAAUCCCAAUUCAAGAAAAUUGACUUUGUUUAAGUCUGCAAAACACAGAAGACUAGGGAAGGAAUUAUGUUAACCCGGGAGAAGGUGUGAGGCACUCCCGAGUUAUGUGGUUCUAGCACGGUCACUUUAGCAAUUAUACCUGGCUUAACUAAUUCUGUAUAUUUUAUAAUCUUAGGAAAAUUUAUGCACUUUUGCCUUAAAUCGCUUUUAAUUGCUUGAUUCUUUGUAAUUAUGGAAUUAUCUUGAAACGAAUCACGCGUACGUGUAUUCGUUUUAUUUGGUGUGUCAAAAAUCAUGUCACGCAUACGUGUACAUAAUUAAUAACACUUUAUUAUUUUUAAGAUUGUUUUGCCAAAGUCGCACGAACGCAUACUUUGCCUUUAAUUUGGGAAAUCAUAAUUAUGUCAUGCGAACGUGUACAUAAUUAAUAACACUUUAUUAUUUUUAAGAUUAUUUUGUCAAAGUCGCGUGAACGCAUACUUUGCCUUUAAUUUGGGAAAUCAUAAUUAUGUCAUGCGAACGUGUACAUAAUCACGACAAUUGAUUGGUUAACACGCGCCUACAGUGUACUAGAGAUUUAUGAGUUAUUUCUCCUAAACUAAUUUGAGAUUAUUGUGAAGGCCAUGAUUUAUGGAUAUAUGAUUAUUUGUGGAAGAAAGCAUGGCUUAGCUAUUAUUAAUAAAUCACUAAUUAUAAUUUAGCAUUCUAUCUUUUGAGAUUAACGAUAAUAUUAAUGAAAUGGAGAGGAUUAACUAUUGGAAUAAAUAAAGCAGCACAGACCAGCCUAAUAACUGAAGCUCAAAAUUUAUUAUAGGGUCCAAAUCUUCCCAAUUAGAAGUCGAAGUUCCGAUACUAUGUUUCAAAACCAACCAGUGGCCUAACUCUAGCCCAUUCCCAUGUAGCCCAUUAUAUGUCAAAUAGUCAGCUUCUGUAUGGCAUACUUAAAUGAAAUUGGUAAGAUAACUUGACAACUAAAUCAACCAAAAAAGUUAUCAAGAUAAAAUAAUCAUAUCCAAAGGCUAGGUCCAUUUAAACAUGUAGAGUAAAUCUAAAAUUACUGUGACCUUUCAAAUGCUAAGACCGAAUUACUCAAUUCACUCUAUGACCCCUUAAUAAUUCAUCUAAAAGUUACUAACUAAAGAAAACGAAGGAAGUAUUCAAUUUAAACAAACCAACUAAAACAAACAUAAUAUUGCAUUUGGAAAUUAGACAAAGAAGGGACCUUUAUUGCUGACUAUUCAACUGCUAAGAUUUAUUCGGAUCAACAAGGAUCCCAGACCGCGUUACAACUGGACGUUUGAGCGGAACCUCGUCGGCGACCUCGCUUCACUCAAAGGGUGUUUCUGGGUUAUUUUUGCUGCUGUUUUGCUGGGUUUGAGUGGCUUUUUGGAGCUCUAGUGACUGAUUUUUAAGGUGAAAGGGAGGGCUGGUUUUUAAUGGUGAGAUGAUGAUGAAAGAGAAAAGCUGAAACGGUGGAGCUAACGGCGAAAUGGAGAAGAUGAUGGAGCUACCACAGUGUAUGGCAUUUACUGGUUUUCUAUGGUUAGGGCAUGGUGUUUAUUGAUGUUACAGGAGAGGCUUGAUGAAGAAGAAUGAAGAAAAAAAUGCUCAGCUAUGGUGGAAAGCUCUUUGGUGCUCUAUAUACGUUUGUAGAUUUUUCUUUCCGAUCCUCUCUUUUCCUUUGCUCUCAAUCUCGUAUUUUUCCCCCCUCUAAUCUAAAGUUUAUGCCAAUUAUCUAGAGAAUGUGUAUGAGUGUGUGUUGAUGGAGAAGAAGAGUGGGAACAUGGGGGAAUCGUGAGGUGUGUGCUGUGAGAAGUUUUGAGGGAGAGGGGACGUGAAAAGUGGGGUGAGAGACGUAAGGGGGAUGGGAAUUGGAA